ACAAACUUGGUCAUUUAGAGGAAGUAAAAGUCGUAACAAGGUUUCCGUAGGUGAACCUGCGGAAGGAUCAUUAUUGAAAGCUUUUGGGAGAUACUGUUGCUGGCUUUUAAACAAGGCAUGUGCACGUAUUUCUUAAAUCUAUUCAUCCACCUGUGCAUCUUUUGUAGAAUGUCUCUUUUCAGAUCGGAUUUCUUUUUGCAGGUGUCUUUAGGGACCCUGUGAGGGAAUAAUGAUUUUGGAUAGAGCUUCUAUGUUUUAUAAACAAGUUAAGCAUGUUUAGAAUGUCGUUUUAUUGGGGCUUGAUUGACCCAUUAAACUUUGUACAACUUUCAGCAACGGAUCUCUUGGCUCUCCCAUCGAUGAAGAACGCAGC
RNAcentral lists this unclassified non-coding RNA (373 nucleotides) under uncultured fungus. Its description in RNAcentral is "partial contains small subunit ribosomal RNA, internal transcribed spacer 1, and 5.8S ribosomal RNA". The stretch from base 1 to 73 matches the Rfam family "Eukaryotic small subunit ribosomal RNA", at positions 1759 to 1831 of the family's 1831-position model. The record is from RNAcentral. Lineage: Eukaryota; Fungi.